RNAcentral lists this ribosomal RNA (267 nucleotides) under Pseudanabaena sp. CCY9704. Its description in RNAcentral is "partial 16S ribosomal RNA". It matches the Rfam family "Bacterial small subunit ribosomal RNA", at positions 1269 to 1533 of the family's 1533-position model. The record is from RNAcentral. Lineage: Bacteria; Bacillati; Cyanobacteriota; Cyanophyceae; Pseudanabaenales; Pseudanabaenaceae.
UAAUCUCAUAAACCCGGUCUUAGUUCAGAUUGCAGGCUGCAACUCGCCUGCAUGAAGGCGGAAUCGCUAGUAAUCGCAGGUCAGCAUACUGCGGUGAAUACGUUCCCGGGCCUUGUACACACCGCCCGUCACACCAUGGAAGCUGGUCACGCCCGAAGUCGUUAUCUCAACCCGCAAGGGAGGGAGGCGCCUAAGGCAGGGCUGGUGACUGGGGUGAAGUCGUAACAAGGUAGCCGUACCGGAAGGUGCGGCUGGAUCACCUCCUUA